UAGUAGGAUGUUUUGGAUUCAGGUCUC
Molecule: non-coding RNA, 27 nt
Filed under: Mus musculus (house mouse)
Lineage: Eukaryota; Metazoa; Chordata; Mammalia; Rodentia; Muridae
Source: RNAcentral